This is a non-coding RNA of Macaca mulatta (Rhesus monkey), 1289 nucleotides long. NCBI's taxonomy places the organism in Eukaryota, Metazoa, Chordata, Mammalia, Primates, Cercopithecidae. The record is from RefSeq and is a predicted model, not a curated record.
UGAGCCAUAGAUUUGUAUCAAGCCAAGAAUGUGGGCUGCUAAGGCCAGGGGGCCCACCAAACAGAGAGACCAGGGGGGAAGGGGUGCAGCAUCCUGCUCACAGCUCCCCUGGACUACUGGAGUCUGGGCCUUGCUAAGCGCAGACAAGGUCUGCUGAGUGAGCCAACAGGUUUCUCAUCCAUCUGGCGUCACUUUUAAAGGUUGUGCUGUCUGAAAUCUGGGGAAUGAACUGGCUGAUCUUUGGUUUGUUUCUGUCUGAGGACUCGCUGAACUUUGGAUUUGGAUUUCUGUUCUGUGACCAUGCACUGUAGCUUUUAAUUUUCUGAAGCAUACUUCAGGCUGCAGAAAUUAUUAGUCCUCGCCAUUUUGCACUUGAUAACUGGCAUUAGGACUGAUCAUUCUUCAGGCAAAUGAUGCUGAGGGGCCCCGCCCUGGGCUCACAACGAUGAACCAGAUACGCUAGGUGCUUCAUCAGUGCUGUUGGAUGGAUGGAUGAGAAACGGAGAAAAUGAAAUAAAGAAGUAAAAGAGCCAACAGGCCGGUGGGGAGGGGACAAUCACACUCAGGAAAAAUGCGACUCACGGUGAAGGAACCCUCGAGGAAAGAUAAGCACGGAGUGAUGGAUGCAGACGCAACUGGCAUAGUAUUUUACCAACAUUAAAGUGAUGCAUUUCAAGUUCCCCCUUAAAUCAAGUUCUGCUCGCUACCCUCCCACCUCUAAGUCAUGAGGCUUAUUGCUCAGGGCAGGAGAAGGCACUAACUCUGUAGCAAGACCCGGGCUUUGGAGAGGGGAAAGAGAGUGAGAAUGUGCUAAAAUGGUUUAGCUCCCACCGUACUCUGCGGGUCAGUAGGACUCAGACCUCAGCAUUCCCCCCAGGAGAAGAGGAGAUAUCCUUUCCUCAUCAGAUGACCAAGAGGCUCCCCUGGGCCACGAGGCUUUGUGCCGCUGCUCCUGCCACCUGGGGCAACGAUAUGUGUCUGGGCAGAGCCAGAACCGCCUUGGCUCCUGGUAUGGAAACAGGCCCAAUUUUCCCAGAAAACUGAAGCUUGAGAAACUUCAAUUUGUUUUAUCUGAGUUCUUUUAACAGGAAACCAACCACCAGGCCUCUAGAUUACUGCAGCCGGACAAUGAGACACACACCUGCUGCCUGUUGACCAUCUCCUGUCUUACCCCUCCCUAAUUCCCCGCUAUCUAAACUCUGAACUUUAGUCAGAGAGAUGGAUUUGUGACUAGUCUCCCAUUUCCAGGCUGAUGUCACUGAGAUUAAAGUCUUUCUUCCCUGGCAAUA